ACCAGAGGUGGCAGUGAAGACAACCAAAAGAACACCUUUAACAACCCCGAAGAGAGCACCAGCCAGUAACGACAUGAAUAUGGUGCCAGGAAUCAUAAAUGUCUGCAUGAAGAUGUAUAUUGCACAGUAACCUAGUAUGAAAUUUGCUUGGUAAUCUUUUGCAUAGACAGCAAGAUUAUCUUUGAGGAUGCGGAGGUCGGAG
This 202-nucleotide unclassified non-coding RNA is filed under the name Hevea brasiliensis (rubber tree). The record is from RNAcentral. Lineage: Eukaryota; Viridiplantae; Streptophyta; Magnoliopsida; Malpighiales; Euphorbiaceae.